This 166-nucleotide small RNA is filed under the name Chrysemys picta bellii (western painted turtle). RNAcentral's name for it is "TUC338 (ENSCPBG00000003161.1)". The record is from RNAcentral. Lineage: Eukaryota; Metazoa; Chordata; Testudines; Emydidae.
CUGAGAGCGCUAGCGGAGACUGAAGUCAUCUGGUUAUCUCUAGAGCAGGUGCAGAAGCAAUGCAAGCUUCCCCUCCAUUGUCCUCCCAAUGGGCCUCAAAUGUAACUUGGAAUGAUCAUCUGAGAUGGGUAGUUAGUGUCUCUGGAGCCAUCAGAGACAAAUCGCU